CCUACGGGAGGCAGCAGUGGGGAAUCUUGCACAAUGGAGGAAACUCUGAUGCAGCGAUGCCGCGUGAGUGAAGAAGGCCUUUGGGUUGUAAAGCUCUUUUGUAGGGGAAGAUAAUGACUGUACCCUAAGAAUAAGGUCCGGCUAACUUCGUGCCAGCAGCCGCGGUAAUACGAAGGGACCUAGCGUAGUUCGGAAUUACUGGGCGUAAAGCGCGCGUAGGCCGUUGAGUUAGUUAAUUGUGAAAUCCCAAAGCUUAACUUUGGAACUGCAAUUAAAACUGCUCGACUAGAGUUUGAUAGAGGAAAGCGGAAUACAUAGUGUAGAGGUGAAAUUCGUAGAUAUUAUGUAGAACACCAGUUGCGAAGGCGGCUUUCUGGAUCAACACUGACGCUGAGGCGCGAAAGUAUGGGUAGCAAAGAGGAUUAGAUACCCUCGUAGUCCAUACCAUAAACGAUGAUUGCUAGAUGUUGGAAAUUUAUUUUCAGUAUCGCANCUACNCAUAGUACAAUACCGCCGUCGGGUAGGUACGACCGACCGAACGGUUAAACGUAACGAAAGGAAAGUUAGUAACGGUCGUGUUAGACGUGCCGACGGACGACGACGAGGGAGGAGG
This 613-nucleotide ribosomal RNA is filed under the name uncultured bacterium. RNAcentral describes it as "bacterial SSU rRNA". The stretch from base 1 to 515 matches the Rfam family "Bacterial small subunit ribosomal RNA", at positions 338 to 873 of the family's 1533-position model. The record is from RNAcentral.